AUUGAACGCUGGCGGCAGGCCUAACACAUGCAAGUCGAGCGGAUGAAGGGAGCUUGCUCCUGGAUUCAGCGGCGGACGGGUGAGUAAUGCCUAGGAAUCUGCCUGGUAGUGCGGGAUAACGUCCGGAAACGGGCGCUAAUACCGCAUACGUCCUGAGGGAGAAAGUGGGGGAUCUUCGGACCUCACGCUAUCAGAUGAGCCUCGGUCGGAUUAGCUAGUUGUUGGGGUAAAGGCCUACCAAGGCGACGAUCCGUAACUGGCCUGAGUGGAUGAUCAGCCACACUGGAACUGAGACACGGUCCAGACUCCUACGGGAGGCAGCAGUGGGGAAUAUUGGACAAUGGGCGAAAGCCUGAUCCAGCCAUGCCGCGUGUGUGAAGAAGGUCUUCGGAUUGUAAAGCCCUUUAAGUUGGGAGGAAGCGCAGUAAGUUAAUACCUUGCUGUUUUGACGUUACCAACAGAAUAAGCACCGGCUAACUUCGUG
This 484-nucleotide ribosomal RNA is filed under the name uncultured bacterium. RNAcentral describes it as "partial 16S ribosomal RNA". It matches the Rfam family "Bacterial small subunit ribosomal RNA", at positions 30 to 507 of the family's 1533-position model. The record is from RNAcentral.